GACGAACGCUGGCGGCGUGCUUAACACAUGCAAGUCGAACGGACCAGUCUGUAGCAAUAUGGGCUGGUUAGUGGCGAACGGGUGAGUAGCGCGUGACUAAUCUACCCCGGACUGGGGAACAACGCUGGGAAACUGGCGCUAAUACCGCAUAUUGAGCUUGAAGGACAUCCUUUGAGCUUGAAAGCUUCGGCGGUCCGGGAUGAGGUCGCGUCCCAUUAGCUGGUUGGUGAGGUAAUGGCCCACCAAGGCGACGAUGGGUAGCUGAUCUGAGAGGAUGAUCAGCCACACUGGGACUGAGAUACGGCCCAGACUCCUACGGGUGGCAG
This 326-nucleotide ribosomal RNA is filed under the name uncultured bacterium. RNAcentral describes it as "bacterial SSU rRNA". It matches the Rfam family "Bacterial small subunit ribosomal RNA", at positions 28 to 351 of the family's 1533-position model. The record is from RNAcentral.